GACGAACGCUGGCGGCGUGCUUAACACAUGCAAGUCGAACGGAAAGGCCCUGCUUUUGUGGGGUGCUCGAGUGGCGAACGGGUGAGUAACACGUGAGUAACCUGCCCUUGACUUUGGGAUAACUUCAGGAAACUGGGGCUAAUACCGGAUAGGAGCUCCUGCUGCAUGGCGGGGGUUGGAAAGUUUCGGCGGUUGGGGAUGGACUCGCGGCUUAUCAGCUUGUUGGUGGGGUAGUGGCUUACCAAGGCUUUGACGGGUAGCCGGCCUGAGAGGGUGACCGGCCACAUUGGGACUGAGAUACGGCCCAGACUCCUACGGGGGGCAGCAGUGGGGAAUAUUGCACAAUGGGCGGAAGCCUGAUGCAGCAACGCCGCGUGCGGGAUGACGGCCUUCGGGUUGUAAACCGCUUUCGCCUGUGACGAAGCGUGAGUGACGGUAAUGGGUAAAGAAGCACCGGCUAACUACGUG
RNAcentral lists this ribosomal RNA (468 nucleotides) under uncultured bacterium. RNAcentral describes it as "partial 16S ribosomal RNA". It matches the Rfam family "Bacterial small subunit ribosomal RNA", at positions 28 to 507 of the family's 1533-position model. The record is from RNAcentral.